UAACGGCGAGUGAAGCGGCAACAGCUCAAAUUUGAAAUCUGGCCCUCUCCGGGGUCCGAGUUGUAAUUUGUAGAGGGUGCUUUGGUGUUGGCUGUGGUCCAAGUUCCCUGGAACAGGACGUCGCAGAGGGUGAGAACCCCGUACGUGGCCGCCAGUCUUCGCCGUGUAAAGCCCCUUCGAAGAGUCGAGUUGUUUGGGAAUGCAGCUCUAAAUGGGAGGUAAAUUCCUUCUAAAGCUAAAUAUUGGCCAGAGACCGAUAGCGCACAAGUAGAGUGAUCGAAAGAUGAAAAGCACUUUGGAAAGAGAGUGAAACAGCACGUGAAAUUGUUGAAAGGGAAGCGCUUGGAGCCAGACGUGCCCGUAGUUGCUCAGCCGGGGUUCUCCCCGGUGCACUCUUCUGCGGGCAGGCCAGCAUCAGUCUGGGCGGUUGGAUAAAGACCUGCUAAACGUACCUCCCCCCGGGGAGGACUUAUAGGGUAGGCGGCAUACAACCAGCCCGGACUGAGGACCGCGCAUCUGCUAGGAUGCUGGCGUAAUGGCUGUAAGCGGCCCGUCUUGAAACACGGACCAAGGAGUCUAAAAUCUAUGCGAGUGUUUGGGUGUCAAGCCCGAGCGCGCAAUGAAAGUGAACGUAGGUGGGAUCCCCUCGGGGUGCACCAUCGACCGAUCCUGAUGUUUUCGGAAGGAUUUGAGUAUGAGCAUAGCUUUUGGGACCCGAAAGAUGGUGAACUAUGCCUGAAUAGGGUGAAGCCAGAGGAAACUCUGGUGGAGGCUCGCAGCGGUUCUGACGUGC
This 793-nucleotide ribosomal RNA is filed under the name Teichospora mariae. RNAcentral's name for it is "LSU rRNA". It matches the Rfam family "Eukaryotic large subunit ribosomal RNA", at positions 84 to 894 of the family's 3401-position model. Lineage: Eukaryota; Fungi; Ascomycota; Dothideomycetes; Pleosporales; Teichosporaceae. The record is from RNAcentral.